AUUGAACGCUGGCGGCAGGCCUAACACAUGCAAGUCGAGCGGAUGAAGGGAGCUUGCUCCUGGAUUCAGCGGCGGACGGGUGAGUAAUGCCUAGGAAUCUGCCUGGUAGUGGGGGAUAACGUCCGGAAACGGGCGCUAAUACCGCAUACGUCCCGAGGGAGAAAGUGGGGGAUCUUCGGACCUCACGCUAUCAGAUGAGCCUAGGUCGGAUUAGCUAGUUGGUGUGGUAAAGGCCUACCAAGGCGACGAUCCGUAACUGGUCUGAGAGGAUGAUCAGUCACACUGGAACUGAGACACGGUCCAGACUCCUACGGGAGGCAGCAGUGGGGAAUAUUGGACAAUGGGCGAAAGCCUGAUCCAGCCAUGCCGCGUGUGUGAAGAAGGUCUUCGGAUUGUAAAGCACUUUAAGUUGGGAGGAAGGGCAGUAAGUUAAUACCUUGCUGUUUUGACGUUACCAACAGAAUAAGCACCGGCUAACUUCGUG
Molecule: ribosomal RNA, 484 nt
Filed under: uncultured bacterium
Lineage: Bacteria
Description: partial 16S ribosomal RNA
Rfam family: Bacterial small subunit ribosomal RNA
Source: RNAcentral